AAGCUCGUAGUUGAAAUUGUGUCCUGCGGUGUCUGUCUACCGGUUGCGGUACGACAGGCGCGUCUGCGGGGCUUCUCGCCGGUGCGUGUUCACCGCCGGUACGUCGCGUCGUCGUUGCGCUUUGCGCGCUUCGACGCACGGCGUCGAGGCGGGCCCUCGCGGCUGUUUACUUUGAACAAAUUAGAGUGCUCAAAGCGGGCUAAUAUUUGCCUGAAUAUUGUGCGCAUGGAAUAAUAGAAUAGGACCUCGGUUCUGUUUUGUUGGCUUUCUGAUACCAGAGGUAAUGAUUAAUAGGGACAACUGGGGGCAUUCGUAUUGCGACGUUAGAGGUGAAAUUCUUGGAUCGUCGCAAGACGGACUAAAGCGAAAGCAUUUGCCAAAGGUGUUUUCAUUAAUCAAGAACGAAAGUUAGAGGUUCGAAGGCGAUUAGAUACCGCUGUAGUUCUAACCAUAAAUGAUGCCAGCCAGCGAUCCGCCGAAGUUUCUUAUUUUGAUUCGGUGGGCAGCUCCCGGGAAACCAA
This 521-nucleotide ribosomal RNA is filed under the name Neureclipsis bimaculata. Its description in RNAcentral is "SSU rRNA". It matches the Rfam family "Eukaryotic small subunit ribosomal RNA", at positions 624 to 1101 of the family's 1831-position model. Lineage: Eukaryota; Metazoa; Arthropoda; Insecta; Trichoptera; Polycentropodidae. The record is from RNAcentral.